RNAcentral lists this long non-coding RNA (391 nucleotides) under Chinchilla lanigera (long-tailed chinchilla). Its description in RNAcentral is "lncRNA (ENSCLAG00000024534.1)". The record is from RNAcentral. Lineage: Eukaryota; Metazoa; Chordata; Mammalia; Rodentia; Chinchillidae.
GCGGAAAUAUGAACACAGCUCCUGGUUGAUGUUGAUGCUGUCGGGAAUGGAAACGAGCUACAGUGCUGAAAGGACAAUUGCUUUCUACACAGCCACUUUUUAAGAGUCAAAAUAUUUAACCUCAAAAUAAUCCAUCUCCUCAUGAUGCCUACAACAAUAUUCAGUGUAAGAAGUGUCCCAGAUGACUACACCUUCUGGAUGAGCGAAAUGAGUGAGAGACAAGUGGACAGAACUGGGAACGGCCUGCGCCUAAUGCUCAAGAAGCCCGAGAUGCUUCUCUGUGCCUGUAAUGCUCAUGAAGCCGGCACUGCCCCUGAGGUGUUAUCGGAAAGUAAACUUAGACUGGUUGUAAGUGAGUAUUGUGAACUCUAGAGCAACCAUUAAUUUUUAA